RNAcentral lists this ribosomal RNA (398 nucleotides) under uncultured bacterium. RNAcentral describes it as "partial 16S ribosomal RNA". It matches the Rfam family "Bacterial small subunit ribosomal RNA", at positions 523 to 919 of the family's 1533-position model. The record is from RNAcentral.
AUACGUAGGGGGCGAGCGUUGUCCGGAAUGAUUGGGCGUAAAGGGCGCGUAGGCGGCCCGGUAAGUCUGGAGUGAAAGUCCUGUUUUUAAGAUGGGAAUUGCUUUGGAUACUGUCGGGCUUGAGUGCAGGAGAGGUAAGUGGAAUUCCCAGUGUAGCGGUGAAAUGCGUAGAGAUUGGGAGGAACACCAGUGGCGAAGGCGACUUACUGGACUGUAACUGACGCUGAGGCGCGAAAGUGUGGGGAGCAAACAGGAUUAGAUACCCUGGUAGUCCACACUGUAAACGAUGAAUGCUAGGUGUAGGGGGUAUCGACCCCUUCUGUGCCGCAGUCAACACAAUAAGCAUUCCGCCUGGGGAGUACAGCCGCAAGGUUGAAACUCAAAGGAAUUGACGGGGG